AUGUAUAUUCACUUUUACUACCAACCAAUCUUUACCAUUCAGUGAUAACAAGCACUUUAUUUUACAUUUUAAUAUUUUAUGAUGUAUUUAAAAGAGUAGUUAUUGUUGCAAACUCCAUUAGAAAUUUAAAUUGAUAUCAGUUUUGGAAAAAGGGAAACGGGGAUGUGAAAAAAAGGGGGGGGGGGUAAAUUUUUCUCAUUUCAGAUUUCAUAAAAUAAAAAGAAAAUUUCUUCAAACAUUUUUUUGAGAGGAUUAAUAUUCAACAGCAUAGUGAAUUGCUCAAAGGCAAAAAAAAACUUUUAAGUUCAUUAGACCACAUUCGUUCUGUGUCAGAAACCUAUGCUGUGUCAUGAUCAACUAUUUAAUUUUAGAUUUAAAAAGUUUGAAGAAGAAAUCUUUAAUUGAUUUGUAAAAUCUUGACAUUUGUUUUGUGUAAAAAAAAACCAUGUAAUGUCAAAAAUUUGAUCACAAUCCAAAUUCAGAGCUGUAUCACGCUUGAAUGUUUUGUCCAUACUUGCCCCAACUGUUCAGGGUUCGACCUCUGCGGUCGUAUAAAGCUGCGCCCUGCGGAGCACCUGGUUAUCAAAUAACCUGCUACACACUGCAAAGACAAUGCUUCAACCUCUUUUCUUAAGAUAAUCAAUCGUUUAGGUCUAAAUUUCUUUAAUUAUCAAUAAAAAAUUGAUGAUUCAUCAACUUGGUAAAAAUUGAAAAUGUCCAUUGACGGAAGCGACUGAAAGCGAGUAUCGUCAAGAACAGGGCGACUUGUUUUCGCUUUUGGGGGUCGGGG
RNAcentral lists this long non-coding RNA (790 nucleotides) under Mytilus galloprovincialis (Mediterranean mussel). Lineage: Eukaryota; Metazoa; Mollusca; Bivalvia; Mytilida; Mytilidae. The record is from RNAcentral.